GAGUUUGAUCAUGGCUCAGGACGAACGCUGGCGGCGUGCUUAACACAUGCAAGUCGAACGGGACUGCUACGAAGGAGUUUUCGGACAACGGAGUAGUAGUUUAGUGGCGGACUGGUGAGUAACGCGUGAGGAACCUGCCUUUCAGAGGGGGACAACAGUUGGAAACGACUGCUAAUACCGCAUGACGCAUACUCGGGACAUCCCGGGGAUGCCAAAGAUUUAUCGCUGAAAGAUGGCCUCGCGUCUGAUUAGCUAGUUGGUGAGGUAACGGCCCACCAAGGCGACGAUCAGUAGCCGGACUGAGAGGUUGACCGGCCACAUUGGGACUGAGAUACGGCCCAGACUCCUACGGGAGGCAGCAGGUGGGGAAUAUUGGGCAAUAGACGCAAGUCUGACCCAGCAACGCCGCGUGAAGGAAGAAGGCUUUCGGGUUGUAAACUUCUUUGACAGGGGAAGAGCAGAAGACGGUACCCUAGAAAACAAGCCACGGCUAACUACGUGCCAGCCGCCGCAGUAAG
This 518-nucleotide ribosomal RNA is filed under the name bacterium enrichment culture clone ALO1_GLFRUDD03G8TU3. Its description in RNAcentral is "bacterial SSU rRNA". It matches the Rfam family "Bacterial small subunit ribosomal RNA", at positions 9 to 524 of the family's 1533-position model. The record is from RNAcentral.